RNAcentral lists this ribosomal RNA (500 nucleotides) under uncultured bacterium. RNAcentral's name for it is "partial 16S ribosomal RNA". It matches the Rfam family "Bacterial small subunit ribosomal RNA", at positions 30 to 523 of the family's 1533-position model. The record is from RNAcentral.
AUUGAACGCUGGCGGCAUGCCUUACACAUGCAAGUCGAACGGCAGCACGGGUGCUUGCACCUGGUGGCGAGUGGCGAACGGAUGAGUAAUACAUCGGAACGUACCUUAUCGUGGGGGAUAACGCAGCGAAAGUUGCGCUAAUACCGCAUACGCCCUGAGGGGGAAAGCGGGGAUCGAAAGACCUCGCGCGAUUAGAGCGGCCGAUGCCUGAUUAGCUUGUUGGUGGGGUAAAAGCCCACCAAGGCGACGAUCAGUAGCUGGUCUGAGAGGACGAUCAGCCACACUGGGACUGAGACACGGCCCAGACUCCUACGGGAGGCAGCAGUGGGGAAUUUUGGACAAUGGGGGCAACCCUGAUCCAGCAAUGCCGCGUGAGUGAAGAAGGCCUUCGGGUUGUAAAGCUCUUUUGUCAGGGAAGAAACACCGGCUCUAACACAGUCCGGGAAUGACGGUACCUGAAGAAUAAGCACCGGCUAACUACGUGCCAGCCGCCGCCGUAA